AGUGAACGCUGGCGGCGUGCUUAACACAUGCAAGUCGAACGAGAACGGAUUAUAGCUUGCUAUAAUUGUCAGCUAAGUGGCGCACGGGUGAGUAAUAUAUAGAUAACCUGCCCUCUAGAAAGGAAUAACAGUUGGAAACGACUGCUAAUGCCCUAUAUGCCUUUAAUACAUAAGUAUGCAAGGGAAACGCUUUAGUGCUAGAGGAUGGGUCCUGUAUGGUAUCAGCUUGUUGGUGAGGUAAUGGCUCACCAAGGCUAUGACGCCUAACUGGUUUGAGAGGAUGAUCAGUCACACUGGAACUGAGACACGGUCCAGACUCCUACGGGAGGCAGCAGUGGGGAAUAUUGCACAAUGGACGAAAGUCUGAUGCAGCAACGCCGCGUGGAGGAUGACACAUUUCGGUGCGGUUAAAACUCCUUUUUAUAUAGGAAGAUAAAUGACGGUACUAUAUGAAUAAG
This 458-nucleotide ribosomal RNA is filed under the name uncultured bacterium. Its description in RNAcentral is "bacterial SSU rRNA". It matches the Rfam family "Bacterial small subunit ribosomal RNA", at positions 29 to 490 of the family's 1533-position model. The record is from RNAcentral.